Molecule: long non-coding RNA, 514 nt
Filed under: Salarias fasciatus (jewelled blenny)
Lineage: Eukaryota; Metazoa; Chordata; Actinopteri; Blenniiformes; Blenniidae
Description: lncRNA (ENSSFAG00005000699.1)
Source: RNAcentral
CGGCAGCAGCUCGCGGACAUCAGACGGCAUUACCGGACGUGUCGGCGGAUUUCCCGGGCCCGGUGAGGCCUGUCCCGGUGAGGCGGCGUGUUUCCAGCGGGGACUCUCCGGCCUGCUGCUCCCCGACAUCAGCGGCUGCUCGCCGGGGAUGAAUCAUCGCCUCCGCCGGGGAGGCUCCGGGAUGCUGUCACCGUCACUGCGCCGCUGAAACCGGCCGCAGCCUCCCGCUCCUCCCGCGGCAGGGCCCCGGACCAGGACCCGGACCCGGACCCGGACCAGGACCCAGACCCCCGCUCCAGCCGCGUCCCCCGCAGCCAGCAUGGAGGAAAUCCUGCGCAAACUGCAGAAAGACGCGUCCGGACACAAACACAAAGCCAUCCGCGACGCGUGCGUGUUCGCCUGCGAAACUCUGGACUCUCAGAAUGGAUCGGCCCACAUUUCCCCUUCACAGCUCCGGGAGCGCUGCCUGCUGCCUCUACAGAUGGCUCUGGAGUCCAAAAACACCAAGCUGGGA